Molecule: ribosomal RNA, 454 nt
Filed under: uncultured Oscillospiraceae bacterium
Lineage: Bacteria; Bacillati; Bacillota; Clostridia; Eubacteriales; Oscillospiraceae
Description: bacterial SSU rRNA
Rfam family: Bacterial small subunit ribosomal RNA
Source: RNAcentral
ACGGGAGGCAGCAGUGAGGAAUAUUGGUCAAUGGACGGAAGUCUGAACCAGCCAAGUCGCGUGAAGGAAGACGGUUCUAUGGAUUGUAAACUUCUUUUGCCUGAGGGUAAAGUGAUCUACGUGUAGGUUAUUGCAAGUAUCAGGUGAAUAAGCUCCGGCUAACUACGUGCCAGCAGCCGCGGUAAUACGUAGGGAGCAAGCGUUAUCCGGAUUUACUGGGUGUAAAGGGCGUGUAGGCGGGACAUCAAGUCAGAUGUGAAAGCACGAGGCUCAACUUCGUGUCUGCAUUUGAAACUGACGUUCUUGAGUGUUGGAGAGGCUAACGGAACUCCUAGUGUAGCGGUGAAAUGCGUAGAUAUUAGGAAGAACACCAGUGGCGAAGGCGGUUAGCUGGACAAUAACUGACGCUGAGGCGCGAAAGCGUGGGUAGCAAACAGGAUUAGAUACCCUGGUA